GAUGAAGAACGUAGCGAAAUGCGAUAAGUAAUGUGAAUUGCAGAAUUCAGUGAAUCAUCGAAUCUUUGAACGCACAUUGCGCCCCUUGGUAUUCCGAGGGGCAUGCCUGUUCGAGCGUCAUUAUAACCCCUCAAGCUCAGCUUGGUGUUGGGGCCUGCUGCACUGGCAGCCCUUAAAAUCAGUGGCGGCGCCAUCUGCUCUAAGCGUAGUAAUUCUUCUCGCUAUGGAGUCCUGGUGGAUGCUUGCCAUCAACCCCCAAUUUUUCUAUGGUUGACCUCGGAUCAGGUAGGGAUACCCGCUGAACUUAAGCAUAUCAAUAAGCGGAGGA
RNAcentral lists this unclassified non-coding RNA (328 nucleotides) under soil metagenome. RNAcentral describes it as "partial contains 5.8S ribosomal RNA, internal transcribed spacer 2, and large subunit ribosomal RNA". The stretch from base 1 to 120 matches the Rfam family "5.8S ribosomal RNA", at positions 35 to 154 of the family's 154-position model. The record is from RNAcentral.